GAAGGUCUUCGGAUCGUAAAACUCUGUUAUUAGGGAAGAACAAACGUGUAAGUAACUGUGCACGUCUUGACGGUACCUAAUCAGAAAGCCACGGCUAACUACGUGCCAGCAACCGCGGUAAUACGUAGGUGGCAAGCGUUAUCCGGAAUUAUUGGGCGUAAAGCGCGCGUAGGCGGUUUUUUAAGUCUGAUGUGAAAGCCCACGGCUCAACCGUGGAGGGUCAUUGGAAACUGGAAAACUUGAGUGCAGAAGAGGAAAGUGGAAUUCCAUGUGUAGCGGUGAAAUGCGCAGAGAUAUGGAGGAACACCAGUGGCGAAGGCGACUUUCUGGUCUGUAACUGACGCUGAUGUGCGAAAGCGUGGGGAUCAAACAGGAUUAGAUACCCUGGUAGUCCACGCCGUAAACGAUGAGUGGUAAGUGUUAGGGGGUUUCCGCCCCUUAGU
RNAcentral lists this ribosomal RNA (443 nucleotides) under Staphylococcus hominis. Its description in RNAcentral is "bacterial SSU rRNA". It matches the Rfam family "Bacterial small subunit ribosomal RNA", at positions 410 to 844 of the family's 1533-position model. Lineage: Bacteria; Bacillati; Bacillota; Bacilli; Caryophanales; Staphylococcaceae. The record is from RNAcentral.